UUAAAAUCUAAUUAGAAUUAGAGGACAAAAGGAAAGUGCCUGUAACUGGAAGACUGAAAUGAGAGCAGACUAAUGUCCCUGGUGCUUUAAGGUGCUUAGCAUAAACCUAGAGUAUUAGUUGGUUAGCAUAUCCAAGGAGUGAAAUAUUUCUUUCAAAUUCUUCCACAGUGAUCCACGUUUCUCUGAAAAUUCCAAGAAACAGAAGCCAACUGGUUUGAUUCAGCGCUGUGCCAUGGAACAGGUCACUGUGACAAAUCCAUUCUCCUUCUCCAAGCACUAAAAGUUCCUUUGCAGAUUUGCCAGACAUGAGGAAGAUCUCACAGGGAGAUGUGGAAAAAAAAAAAGGAAAGAC
This 352-nucleotide long non-coding RNA is filed under the name Coturnix japonica (Japanese quail). RNAcentral's name for it is "lncRNA (ENSCJPG00005008572.1)". Lineage: Eukaryota; Metazoa; Chordata; Aves; Galliformes; Phasianidae. The record is from RNAcentral.